UCUUGUAGCCAACGGAAACCUGGUAGAGCUAUGUAAUGUAAACGAAGGUGGAACAUUUCUAACCGGAGAGACCGUCAGAUGGACUAGUCCUUUAGCCGAAAUUACCCCAGCAAGCCAUUCACUCGGAGAAGUUAGUCUCUAUCAUGAUACGGAUUCUCCACGAUGUCGGGAAACUUGUAGUUCACAAACCCAAAUUCCUCAUGAUCUCGGUUUAAGGGUGAAAGUUCUGCCUUCGUCACCCGUUCUUAAGAGGAUCAUCCCUGGACGAGCUGAGGAAAUCCCCGUAGCAGAAGGAAGAAACACUGAAGUUUGAUUUGUGACAAAAGAAAAUUCGUCUUUAGUCUACCAACCAGACCAUCAUUUCUGAUCAAGAAACACCGUUAUAUUACCCCGCUGGUAACCCUUGUUGGGUUAGACUCAAGUGGCCAGGCUGAAAGCCGGAUCAUCAGACAUUAUAUUUGUUUGUAUUCUCAGUGGGAAGAAAGCGUUUGUACCGAAGUGACACAUUGAUCUAUUAAGAAUACCAGACAUAGAAAACACAAAACACGACAUUCGGGUUGGAGACGGAUAAUUGUAUUCGUGACAGCUUUAUCACCAUCCCUACAAUAAACUAUUCGACAAUAGCAGUGUUGUAAUAUAUAUAUAUAUUAAGUACAAUCACCCUUUCGCCCAUCUCAUCCGUCUUCUGUGAUUCGUAUGAUAUUACUUAUCCUUGAAACCAGGGUAAUUCUGCGGGACUAAUAUAAGCAAGAGGAGCCACUAUACGUUCAAACUGUCAACUCGAGUACUGGCCCAACCUCAAUCACCUAUUUUUAAAUGUUAGAGAAUCCUCGCUAUGUAUUACAAUCGUAUUUAUUGCUGCCUCAUGUUUACCUCUUUUUUUCUAUAUAUAUAUUUUCUGGAAUCUAAGGUGGUUCAACACCGAAGGACGACUCGAGCUGAAUGGAAACGAAACGGCGAGAAUUCUACUUUUUUUUUAAAGUAGCUUUUUGUAUGUUUAUUGGAAAUGUCAGAGCGUUUACAAUAAAAAAAACACUUCUCUUUAGUAUUAAAAAAUAUAUAGAUAUAUUUUUGUGAACCAUAAUAAAACAUCUUAUCUUUAUAAUUAGUCACUUUAAUUCGGAGCAAUCAAUAGGCAUCGUAUAAAUAAUUAUACACGCGUAAUGUAUUAAAGGUAUAGUAAGGAUGGUUUCCAAAACUAACUGAAACAUUGAAAGACCUUUUAUUGAGACGCACGACAGAAACGUUACUCUAGACUUCUAAGGUACUUAUCCACGAUCUAAGUGAAACAUUGAAAGACCUUUUAUUGAGACGCACGACAGAAACGUUACUCUAGACUUCUAAGGUACUUAUUUAUCCACGAUCUAAGUGAAACAUUGAAAGACCUUUUAUUGAGACGCACGACAGAAACGUUACUCUAG
This is a long non-coding RNA of Limulus polyphemus (Atlantic horseshoe crab), 1421 nucleotides long. RefSeq lists it as uncharacterized. NCBI's taxonomy places the organism in Eukaryota, Metazoa, Arthropoda, Merostomata, Xiphosura, Limulidae. The record is from RefSeq and is a predicted model, not a curated record. The transcript has 3 exons.